AUUGAACGCUGGCGGCAGGCCUAACACAUGCAAGUCGAGCGGAUGAAGGGAGCUUGCUCCUGGAUUCAGCGGCGGACGGGUGAGUAAUGCCUAGGAAUCUGCCUGGUAGUGGGGGAUAACGUCCGGAAACGGGCGCUAAUACCGCAUACGUCCUGAGGGAGAAAGUGGGGGAUCUUCGGACCUCACGCUAUCAGAUGAGCCUAGGUCGGAUUAGCUAGUUGGUGGGGUAAAGGCCUACCAAGGCGACGAUCCGUAACUGGUCUGAGAGGAUGAUCAGUCACACUGGAACUGAGACACGGUCCAGACUCCUACGGGAGGCAGCAGUGGGGAAUAUUGGACAAUGGGCGAAAGCCUGAUCCAGCCAUGCCGCGUGUGUGAAGAAGGUCUUCGGAUUGUAAAGCACUUUAAGUUGGGAGGAAGGGCAGUAAGUUAAUACCUAGCUGUUUUGACGUUACCAACAGAAUAAGCACCGGCUAACUUCGUG
This 484-nucleotide ribosomal RNA is filed under the name uncultured bacterium. RNAcentral's name for it is "partial 16S ribosomal RNA". It matches the Rfam family "Bacterial small subunit ribosomal RNA", at positions 30 to 507 of the family's 1533-position model. The record is from RNAcentral.